RNAcentral lists this ribosomal RNA (377 nucleotides) under uncultured eukaryote. Its description in RNAcentral is "partial 18S ribosomal RNA". It matches the Rfam family "Eukaryotic small subunit ribosomal RNA", at positions 592 to 975 of the family's 1831-position model. The record is from RNAcentral.
CAAUAGCGUAUAUUUAAGUUGUUGCAGUUAAAAAGCUCGUAGUUGGAUUUCGGGUGGGACGCAGCGGUCUCGCAUUGCGUUUGUACUGCUGCAGCCCUCCUUCUUGCCGGGGGCGGCCUCUCGGACUUCACUGUCUGGGGGUCAGAAUCGGCGAUGUUACUUUGAGCAAAUUAGAGUGUUCAAAGCAAGCUUACGCUCUGAAUAUAAUAGCAUGGGAUAACACGACAGGACUCUGGCCUAUCGUGUUGGUCUAUAGGACCAGAGUAAUGAUUAAGAGGGACAGUCGGGGGCAUUCGUAUUCCGUUGUCAGAGGUGAAAUUCUUGGAUUUACGGAAGACGAACAUCUGCGAAAGCAUUUGCCAAGGAUGUUUUCAUUG